UUUCCGUAGGUGAACCUGCGGAAGGAUCAUUAAAGUUAUAGUCCCCCGGCCCUCUGGGCUGGGGUCUUCUAUACCACCCUUUGUUUAUUACACCUUUGUUGCUUUGGCAGGCCUGCCCUCGGGCUGCCGGCUCCGGCCGGCUCGCGUCUGCCAGAGGACCUAAACUCUGUUUGUAUAUGAAGUCUGAGUACUAUAUAAUAGUUAAAACUUUCAACAACGGAUCUCUCGGUUCUG
Molecule: unclassified non-coding RNA, 234 nt
Filed under: plant metagenome
Description: partial contains small subunit ribosomal RNA, internal transcribed spacer 1, and 5.8S ribosomal RNA
Source: RNAcentral